GACGAACGCUGGCGGCGUGCCUAAUACAUGCAAGUUGAGCGCUGAAGGUUGGUACUUGUACCAACUGGAUGAGCAGCGAACGGGUGAGUAACGCGUGGGGAAUCUGCCUUUGAGCGGGGGACAACAUUUGGAAACGAAUGCUAAUACCGCAUAAAAACUUUAAACACAAGUUUUAAGUUUGAAAGAUGCAAUUGCAUCACUCAAAGAUGAUCCCGCGUUGUAUUAGCUAGUUGGUGAGGUAAAGGCUCACCAAGGCGAUGAUACAUAGCCGACCUGAGAGGGUGAUCGGCCAAAUUGGGACUGAGACAAGGCCCAAACUCCUACGGGAGGCAGCAGUAGGGAAACUUGGGAAAUGGACGAAAGUCUGACCGAGCAACGCCGCGGGAGUGAAGAAGGUUGUCGGAGCGUAAAACUCUGUUGGUAGAGAAGAAAGUGGGGGAGAGUGAAAAGCUCAUCAAGUGACGGUAACUACCCAGAAAGGAACGGCUAACUACGUG
Molecule: ribosomal RNA, 497 nt
Filed under: uncultured bacterium
Lineage: Bacteria
Description: partial 16S ribosomal RNA
Rfam family: Bacterial small subunit ribosomal RNA
Source: RNAcentral